CCUGGCUCAGGAUGAACGCUAGCGGCAGGCUUAACACAUGCAAGUCGAGGGGUAACAUUGGUGCUUGCACCAGAUGACGACCGGCGCACGGGUGCGUAACGCGUAUGCAACCUACCUUUUACUGGGGGAUAGCCCGAAGAAAUUCGGAUUAAUACCGCAUAACAAUUUUAAACUGCAUGGUUUAAAAUUUAAAACUACGGUGGUAAAAGAUGGGCAUGCGUGACAUUAGCUAGUUGGUGAGGUAAUGGCUCACCAAGGCGACGAUGUCUAGGGGUUCUUAAAGGAAGGUCCCCCACACUGGUACUGAGACACGGACCAGACUCCUACGGGAGGCAGCAGUGAGGAAUAUUGGUCAAUGGACGGAAGUCUGAACCAGCCAUGCCGCGUGCAGGAUGACUGCCCUAUGGGUUGUAAACUGCUUUUAUACAGGGAGAACACUACUCUUGCGAGAGUAACUGACGGUACUGUAUGAAUAAGGAUCGGCUAACUCCGUGCCAGCAGCCGCGGUAAUACGGAGGAUUCGAGCGUUAUCCGGAUUUAUUAGGUUUAAAGGGUGCGUAGGCGGAAGAGUAAGUCAAUUGGUUAAAUCUGGUGGCUCAACCAUACAGUUGCCAUUGAUACUGCUUUUCUUGAAUUUAGUUGCUGUGGGCGGAAUGUGUCAUGUAGCGGUGAAAUGCAUAGAUAUGACACAGAACACCGAUUGCGAAGGCAGCUCACAAAACUAAUAUUGACGCUGAUGCACGAAAGCGUGGGUAGCGAACAGGAUUAGAUACCCUGGUAGUCCACGCCGUAAACGAUGCACACUGGCUGUAUGCGAUAUACUGUAUGUGGCUGAGGGAAACUAUUAAGUGUGCCACCUGGGAAGUACGUCGGCAACGAUGAAACUCAAAGGAAUUGACGGGGGCCCGCACAAGCGGAGGAACAUGUGGUUUAAUUCGAUGAUACGCGAGGAACCUUACCCGGGCUUAAAUGUAGGUUGCAUAGUUCAGAGAUGGAUCUUUCCUUCGGGACUACUUACAAGGUGCUGCAUGGUUGUCGUCAGCUCGUGCCGUGAGGUGUCGGGUUAAGUCCCAUAACGAGCGCAACCCCUAUCGUUAGUUGCUAUCAGGUAAAGCUGAGGACUCUAGCGAGACUGCCGCCGUAAGGCGAGAGGAAGGUGGGGAUGACGUCAAAUCAGCACGGCCCUUACGUCCGGGGCUACACACGUGUUACAAUGGUCGGUACAGAGGGCAGCUACAUAGUGAUAUGAUGCCAAUCUCGAAAACCGGUCUCAGUUCGGAUCGAAGUCUGCAACUCGACUUCGUGAAGUUGGAUUCGCUAGUAAUCGCGUAUCAGCAAUGACGCGGUGAAUACGUUCCCGGGCCUUGUACACACCGCCCGUCAAGCCAUGGAAGUUGGGAGUGCCUGAAGUUCGUGACCGCAAGGAGCGACCAAGGGUAAAACUAGUAACUGGGGCUAAGUCGUAACA
RNAcentral lists this ribosomal RNA (1468 nucleotides) under uncultured bacterium. Its description in RNAcentral is "bacterial SSU rRNA". It matches the Rfam family "Bacterial small subunit ribosomal RNA". The record is from RNAcentral.